GUAAUUAUUUUUCUAUGUAUGUUGUAUCUCUCACCUUUGUGAUGCUCGGUGACAGGAAGAAGCUUGGUCCUACUAGGUGCCGAGUGCUCGUGCGCGGGUCUUGCAGAUGCUGGAUCUACAUUGCUGAAUGACAUGGCCGUGGUUCCUAUCAUUACAACCUAGCGAGGAAAACAGAUAGAGUCAGUGUUUCAGACUUUGUCCUCCGGCAUUCUAGAGGCAUCUCUCCUGGGGCACUCAUCACCAGACUGGGUCACAGAGCAUCCUUCCCUAGCUUCCUGUGAACUUCAUGGACCACCCAGAGGGACUCAUGUAUAGAUA
Molecule: long non-coding RNA, 318 nt
Organism: Prionailurus viverrinus (fishing cat)
Lineage: Eukaryota; Metazoa; Chordata; Mammalia; Carnivora; Felidae
Exons: 3
Source: RefSeq, a predicted model, not a curated record